UUGCUUUGAUAGCAUAUAUAUUGACAUUGGAAUAAUACAGAGAUAUUAGCAUGGCCUCUGUGCAAGGAUGGCUUGCAAAUUUGUGAAGCCAUAUUGAAAAAAACUUUU
Molecule: small nuclear RNA, 108 nt
Filed under: Prolemur simus (greater bamboo lemur)
Lineage: Eukaryota; Metazoa; Chordata; Mammalia; Primates; Lemuridae
Source: RNAcentral